UUAUUACAAGGGCCACACCUGGUCUG
This 26-nucleotide non-coding RNA is filed under the name Mus musculus (house mouse). The record is from RNAcentral. Lineage: Eukaryota; Metazoa; Chordata; Mammalia; Rodentia; Muridae.